AUUGAACGCUGGCGGCACGCUUAACACAUGCAAGUCGAGCGGUAGCAUGAGUAGUAGCAAUACUACUUGAUGACGAGCGGCGGACGGGUGAGUAACACGUAGGAACUUGCCCAAUAGAGGGGGACAACUAAGGGAAACUUUAGCUAAUACCGCAUAUACUCGAGAGAGGAAAGCUGCCGCAAGGUGGCGCUAUUGGAGAGGCCUGCGUCUGAUUAGCUAGUUGGUGAGGUAAAGGCUCACCAAGGUGAUGAUCAGUAACUGGUCUGAGAGGACGACCAGUCACACUGGGACUGAGACACGGCCCAGACUCCUACGGGAGGCAGCAGUGGGGAAUCUUGGACAAUGGGGGCAACCCUGAUCCAGCGAUGCCGCGUGAGUGAAGAAGGCCUUCGGGUCGUAAAGCUCUUUAGGUUGGGAGGAAGGUUGGUAUUUUAAGAGAUAACCAAUUUGACUGUACCGACAGAAUAAGCACCGGCAAACUCUGUGCCAGCCGCCGCAGUAA
This 502-nucleotide ribosomal RNA is filed under the name uncultured bacterium. RNAcentral describes it as "partial 16S ribosomal RNA". It matches the Rfam family "Bacterial small subunit ribosomal RNA", at positions 30 to 523 of the family's 1533-position model. The record is from RNAcentral.